This 485-nucleotide ribosomal RNA is filed under the name uncultured bacterium. RNAcentral describes it as "partial 16S ribosomal RNA". It matches the Rfam family "Bacterial small subunit ribosomal RNA", at positions 899 to 1397 of the family's 1533-position model. The record is from RNAcentral.
ACUCAAAUGAAUAGACGGGGGCUCGCACAAGUGGUGGAGCAUGUGGUUUAAUUCGAAGCUAAGCGAGGAACCUUACCUGGGCUUGACAUCUCUGGAACCCUGCAGAAAUGCGGGGGUGCCUUCGGGAGCCAGAUGACAGGUGCUGCACGGUCGUCGUCAGCUCGUGCCGUGAGGUGUUCCGUUCAGUCGGCAAACGAGCGCAACCCCUACCCUGUGUUGUAUUCUCACGGGGGACUGCUCCGAUCAUCGGAGAGGAAGGUGGGGAUGACGUCAGAUCAGCGUGGCUCUUACGCCCAGGGCGACACACGUGCUACAAUGGCAGUCAACAACGGGUUGCAAUACCGCAAGGUGGAGCUAAUCCCUGAAACACUGCCCCAGUUCGGAUUGUAGGCUGCAAUUCGCCUACAUGAAGCCGGAAUCACUAGUAAACGCGCAUCAGCCAUGGCGCGUUGAAUACGUUCUCGAGCCUUGUACACACCGCCCGU